RNAcentral lists this ribosomal RNA (621 nucleotides) under uncultured bacterium. RNAcentral describes it as "bacterial SSU rRNA". It matches the Rfam family "Bacterial small subunit ribosomal RNA", at positions 338 to 951 of the family's 1533-position model. The record is from RNAcentral.
CCUACGGGAGGCAGCAGUGGGGAAUUUUGGACAAUGGGCGAAAGCCUGAUCCAGCAAUGCCGCGUGAGUGAAGAAGGCCUUCGGGUUGUAAAGCUCUUUUGUCAGGGAAGAAACGGUGAAAGCUAAUAUCUUUUGCUAAUGACAGUACCUGAAGAAUAAGCACCGGCUAACUACGUGCCAGCAGCCGCGGUAAUACGUAGGGUGCAAGCGUUAAUCGGAAUUACUGGGCGUAAAGCGUGCGCAGGCGGUUUUGUAAGUCUGAUGUGAAAUCCCCGGGCUCAACCUGGGAAUUGCAUUGGAGACUGCAAGGCUAGAAUCUGGCAGAGGGGGGUAGAAUUCCACGUGUAGCAGUGAAAUGCGUAGAUAUGUGGAGGAACACCGAUGGCGAAGGCAGCCCCCUGGGUCAAGAUUGACGCUCAUGCACGAAAGCGUGGGGAGCAAACAGGAUUAGAUACCCUGGUAGUCCACGCCCUAAACGAUGUCUACUAGUUGUCGGGUCUUAAUUGACUUGGUAACGCAGCUAACGCGUGAAGUAGACCGCCUGGGGAAGUACGGUCGCAAGAUUAAAACUUCAAAGGAAUUGACGGCNGAGAGNGCGACGGACGACGACGAGGGAGGAGG